UGUAAUUUGCAAAGUUAUCAAAUUCUUAAAGUAUGUGAUCUGAAAAAUAUCACAUACUUUGAUUGCACUGAAAAUGUAAGAUAUUAUAUGAUAAAUACUGGGUAUGCAACAAAAUAAUAAAUUUCUGCAUUUACUUAGCUGAACAAGACAGUGCAUAUCUGUAUUUAAUAAAAUGACAAGUAUGUUACACCCUGAAAAUUUGAACACAAAAUGUGAAGCAGCCUAUAAAUGCAAAACAGAGCCUUAUAAAUGUGACACUAAAAACCUUGGAUCAACAUUUCUAUUGAGUGAGCUAUUGAGCGUUUCAUACAUGCGGAAACUCUGUCUGAUCUUCAUAAAGAAAGGCACAAUAUCUGUUAGUAACUGAAGCCUGUCUAAACUGGAAUCUCAUAAAAACCGGCAAAAUUUUAUGGUCCUGACUUUUCUAAAUUUUAAAACUGGACCCUCUAAACAGCGUAUCCUGUCUAAAUGUGAUAAAUAUUAGGUCCCCAGCAGGAUCCGGUUUAGACAGGUUUCACUGUAUAAAUAAAUGUGAUAAAUAUUAGGUCCCCUGCAUGAUCCGGUUUAGACCGGUUUCACUGUACAACCAUGGGAAUAAAUGUUACAAUCUGAUAAAUAUUAGGUCACCGACAUGAUCCGGUUUAGACAGGUUUCACUGUACAACCAUGGGAAUAAAUGUUACAAUCUGAUAAAUAUUAGGUCACCGACAUGAUCCGGUUUAGACCGGUUUCACUGUACAACCAUGGGAAUAAAUGUUACAAUCUGAUAAAUAUUAGGUCACCGACAUGAUCCGGUUUAGACAGGUUUCACUGUACAACCAUGGGAAUAAAUGUUACAAUCUGAUAAAUAUUAGGUCACCGACAUGAUCCGGUUUAGACAGGUUUCACUGUACAACCAUGGCAAUAAAUGUUACAAUUUUUAUAAUGAUGUUUUUGUAUACGGUAAGUGUGUUCUGUUGAAAGCAUCCAUGUUAGCUCAAGAAUUUCAUCAUCAAAUUAUUGACAUUCUGCGAUGAAGAAAUCCAAACACAAUCAGAAUUUUCCAUUGUUUGAUUACACAUUGUUUUUCAUUACUUUUAUUAGACAAGUGAUAACAGAAUAGUUGUUGAAAAAUAUGUGUUGGUGAUGGCAUCAUCAUACAAACAAGGUAUGAGUCUAUAAUCAGGGGUAGGUGCAAGAGUAUAGAUAAAUCUAAUUGAAAUUUUACUUCACAAAGAGUUGUGAAUUUUUGUAGUGUUGUUAGUGACUCCCCCCCCCCCUUCCCCCAAGAUGAAUAUUGCUUAAGCUUUGCUUCUUUUGUAUUUUUACUGUAAACAUAGGAUGGAAUAUUAAAACUUACUGUGCUUCACUGAGAAAAUAAACACCUUUAGUUAAUUCUGUUGACAUCAAGAUAAAAAAAAAAGAGAGUUAAAAAUUACUUUCUACUUUUGACUCAAUUCUCAGUCUGACUGUCAUAUAGAAUGGUAUAGAAAGGGGUUUCACAAAUCACUGUAGAUAAAGAACCACAAGAAUUGCUUUCUACAUGUCUUUUUAAUAGAACUUUCCCCAUGACCUUACUUGGUAAAUGUUUAAAUCGUGAAACCUAGUACUGUAAUAAUGUUGGCUUGUUUAUUUGUUUAUUGUGUCAUCAUUGUUUCACAAUCAUGCUAUUUGUGGCUAUAUAUUGUUAUUUUCAAUAUUAAGUUAUUGUAUUUAUAUUAAAGAAUGCUUAUUUUCUUCUUGAA
RNAcentral lists this long non-coding RNA (1723 nucleotides) under Gigantopelta aegis. RNAcentral's name for it is "uncharacterized LOC121380866". The record is from RNAcentral. Lineage: Eukaryota; Metazoa; Mollusca; Gastropoda; Neomphalida; Peltospiridae.